CAGAUAGAAAGGUGAAAUCUAAUGAAGUAACGCCUGAAUAUAUCGACUUUGCGCCACAGACAACACAGAUUCCAAAUAAAGCGUUUGCUUCAACAACAACUUAUAGACACCAGAAUGUGAAUGAUAGAUCAUUUACUGAUCUCUUCAAAGAUAAAACAAAUCAGUACAAAGGUACAUCUGAUAGAUAACUAGAACCUUAUAAAUCGUCUCAUAUUCUUGACCUCAAUCAACACAGAAAGUCUGUAAUUGUACACAACAGGAAGGACGCAGAUGUAGUUGCUAUCGAUAAAUCAAAUAAUCUAACUCAACAAAACUCACCGUUAAUUGAGCCUGGACAACAAAACAUCAAUGACAUAAUAUGCGACCGAGUGCGCAACAUGAUUGCGGUCAAUUUAAGGUGAAGCGAUGCCAAAAUCACAACAAAGAUUCGGUUAUGUUCGGCUAUGUUCGGGUUACGUUCAGCAUCUGUGUGCGGCUAGAACGUACUAUACCGAUAGGAGAUGGCACGCACACAAGCGUAUCGUUCAGCAAUCAGCUGACUGAUUUUUGCACCACGUGUUUCAUUUGUUUUGAAAACUAAAAAUGUACAAAUUUCCCAAAUGAAUCAAAAUUCCUUGAAGAGAAUGUAUUCAUCUACAUGUGCCAACAUGCUUACAUACAGUGAUACAAUUUCUAAGCAAUCUGAGAUAAGAUAUUUAAGUUACAAACGAUUUUGUCUUGCGCGCCAAUGCAAUGUUUUGAUUUUGACGAUGAAAUAAAAAGAAGAAGCAGAAACGACGGCAGCCAUUUUAGCUGCCACCUUGUUGUUCUGUUCAGCAUGGCCUUAAUAAGUCGACCCGAUAACGAUUCUAAGAAGAAACGAGAGGUAAUAGAUGAUACCAUUUUCUUCGAUUCGCUGAAAAAUACCUGCUCUGAACCUAACGAGCAAAUACCUGUCAAUACUCAAUAUCAAAACAGCCCAAUGCAGUAACCGAACCAUGAUGUUGGUGAUAACAGUAGCAAAAAUGAUGAAAAUGAGGAUUCCGACUCGGAGUACGAAGGCGUCGUUGAUGAUGCUCAGGAAAUUCGCAUUGGUGAUCUAACCAUAUUUAACGAGUUCAUAGAGCAGGAAUAUUUCAAAAAAUAUGAAAAUUAAACGCUUCUCAAUGAUGAUGAUGAUGAUGGAAAACUACUAGAAGGAAAAGAGAAUAAAGGUCCAUCUUCACACUAUGCUACCGAAACCGCACUUCAAAAUGGUGACCUCGGAUUUGAUGAAAUUAAUUCAAGAAACUCUCCAACAAAAUACCGUAACUAUCGGAAGGCUAUUCAGAACUCACGAAUGAAAGGUUUGAAAUAUACAAGGACUGACGGAGUACUCACACCUGCCCGAAGCGUUAAAGCUCCAUGCAGCUGCACAAAGUACAAAUGUCACGCGAAGUAUAGCACAGCAAUGCGAGAAAAACUGCUGAUUAAUCUUUUGAAGCUAACGACAUCAGGACAAAACCAAUUUUUAAGUAAUCAUAUAUCAAUCCGGACAACUACACGGCCGAAGGGUAUAGGAUUUUCAAGGAGAGUGUUCACCAGAUCAUACUUUCUUCCCGCACUCAACGGUCGUAUCCGCGUG
This is a long non-coding RNA of Topomyia yanbarensis, 1603 nucleotides long. RefSeq lists it as uncharacterized. NCBI's taxonomy places the organism in Eukaryota, Metazoa, Arthropoda, Insecta, Diptera, Culicidae. The transcript has 3 exons. The record is from RefSeq and is a predicted model, not a curated record.